Molecule: long non-coding RNA, 262 nt
Organism: Gracilinanus agilis (Agile Gracile Mouse Opossum)
Lineage: Eukaryota; Metazoa; Chordata; Mammalia; Didelphimorphia; Didelphidae
Exons: 3
Source: RefSeq, a predicted model, not a curated record
CUCAAGUGGGCCGUCUCGGCCCUGGAAGGCUUCUUGCUGUUUUUCUAGGACCUUUGCUAGGUGUCCAAAGAGGAAGUCUCCCCACCUGGGGGCUCCCGCUCCCAGAAGGACCCCAGUAUGGCACAAGCAGAGACCCCAGAGCCAGAGGGAAUGUCAUCCGGGACCCCGAGGCCCCCCUCCCAGGCAUCCAAAGAGAAAAUCUCCCCACCUGGGGGCUCCCCCUCCCUGAAGGACCCCAGUAUGGCCCAAGCAGAGACCCCAG